RNAcentral lists this non-coding RNA (174 nucleotides) under Lapidilactobacillus concavus. RNAcentral's name for it is "Lactobacillus concavus Lysine sequence". It matches the Rfam family "Lysine riboswitch aptamer". From Rfam's summary of the family: Riboswitches are metabolite binding domains within certain messenger RNAs that serve as precision sensors for their corresponding targets. Allosteric rearrangement of mRNA structure is mediated by ligand binding, and this results in modulation of gene expression. RNAcentral also lists the same sequence under 1 other name. The record is from RNAcentral. Lineage: Bacteria; Bacillati; Bacillota; Bacilli; Lactobacillales; Lactobacillaceae.
ACAAACAAUAGAGGUUGCGAGAGUCACAGAAUUCAGGGAGUGUCCAAACACGUUGAACUGAAACUCUAGGAUGAUCGCCGAAAUCAACUUAUUUUUGGAAGUAGGUUGGUUGGGACAAGUGUGAAUAAUGCUUGGACUGUCCUAACGAAUUCGUUAGGGAGCGCUAUGAUUUUG